RNAcentral lists this ribosomal RNA (452 nucleotides) under uncultured bacterium. Its description in RNAcentral is "bacterial SSU rRNA". It matches the Rfam family "Bacterial small subunit ribosomal RNA", at positions 29 to 531 of the family's 1533-position model. The record is from RNAcentral.
AACGAACGCUGGCGGCAGGCUUAACACAUGCAAGUCGAGCGCCCCGCAAGGGGAGCGGCAGACGGGUGAGUAACGCGUGGGAACAUACCCUUUAGUACGGAAUAGCCUCGGGAAACUGGGAUUAAUACCGUAUACGCCUACGGGGAAGGAUUAUCGCUAAGGAUUGGCCGCGUUGGAUUAGCUAGUUGGUGAGGUAAUGGCUCACCAAGGCGACGAUCUAUAGCUGGUCUGAGAGGAUGAUCAGCCACACUGGGACUGAGACACGGCCCAGACUCCUACGGGAGGCAGCAGUGGGGAAUAUUGGACAAUGGGCGAAAGCCUGAUCCAGCCAUGCCGCGUGAGUGAUGAAGGCCCUAGGGUUGUAAAGCUCUUUCGCUAGAGAAGAUAAUGACGGUAUCUAGUAAAGAAGCCCCGGCUAACUUCGUGCCAGCAGCCGCGGUAAAGUCUGUACU